UGUGGGAGCUGGCUUGCCUGCGAUGCGGGCGACUCAGUGCUUCAGUUAAACCGAGGCGAUGCUAUCGCAGGCAAGCCAGCUCCCACA
RNAcentral lists this unclassified non-coding RNA (87 nucleotides) under Pseudomonas libanensis. The record is from RNAcentral. Lineage: Bacteria; Pseudomonadati; Pseudomonadota; Gammaproteobacteria; Pseudomonadales; Pseudomonadaceae.